RNAcentral lists this ribosomal RNA (434 nucleotides) under uncultured Roseomonas sp. RNAcentral describes it as "bacterial SSU rRNA". It matches the Rfam family "Bacterial small subunit ribosomal RNA", at positions 341 to 792 of the family's 1533-position model. The record is from RNAcentral. Lineage: Bacteria; Pseudomonadati; Pseudomonadota; Alphaproteobacteria; Acetobacterales; Roseomonadaceae.
ACGGGAGGCAGCAGUGGGGAAUAUUGGACAAUGGGGGCAACCCUGAUCCAGCAAUGCCGCGUGGGUGAAGAAGGUCUUCGGAUUGUAAAGCCCUUUCGGCGGGGACGAUGAUGACGGUACCCGCAGAAGAAGCCCCGGCUAACUUCGUGCCAGCAGCCGCGGUAAUACGAAGGGGGCUAGCGUUGCUCGGAAUUACUGGGCGUAAAGGGCGCGUAGGCGGUCUGCCAAGUCAGGCGUGAAAUUCCUGGGCUUAACCUGGGGGCUGCGCUUGAGACUGGUGGGCUAGAGGACGGAAGAGGGUCGUGGAAUUCCCAGUGUAGAGGUGAAAUUCGUAGAUAUUGGGAAGAACACCGGUGGCGAAGGCGGCGACCUGGUCCGUUACUGACGCUGAGGCGCGACAGCGUGGGGAGCAAACAGGAUUAGAUACCCUGGUA